Molecule: long non-coding RNA, 1052 nt
Organism: Macadamia integrifolia
Lineage: Eukaryota; Viridiplantae; Streptophyta; Magnoliopsida; Proteales; Proteaceae
Exons: 2
Source: RefSeq, a predicted model, not a curated record
GUAGAGGUUGAAGUAGCGGCUAGCGACGGCGAGUGGCGCUAACCGAUCGACGGAACCUCGUUCGCCUUAGGGGUUGGUGUGUUCAUGAAGAUCAAUUGCUUCUUGUAUAUGAUACAUGCCUAAUCUCAGCCUCGAUCAGAUUCUCUUCAAAUGACCUGAUUGCCCUGCGUCGCCGAUUCUCAAUUGGGAACAGAGAUGGUGAAUUGUGGCGGGUCUUGCGGCUGCUCUAUUCUAUCUACAUGAGCAAUUGGAGACACAAAUCAUUCACCGAGAUGUCAAGAUUAGUACUGUCAUGUUAGAUUCCAAUUAUAAUGCUCGGUUGGACGAUUUCGGAUUAGCACGGUGGCUAGAGCAUGAACUUGAAUUUGCAGCACCAUCUUUUGAUAGCAAUUAUGAGUUCAGGAUGGCGGAGACAACCAGAAUUCGUGGCACAAUUGGGUACUUGCCACCGGAGAGCUUCUAGAAAAAGAGCAUUGCUACUGCAAAAUCUGAUGUUUUUAGCUUUGGGAUUGUUGUUUUGGAGGUGGCGAGUGGUUGGCGAGCAAUCGAUCUCGCCAUCCAAGAUGAGCAGAUUGUCCUACUUGAUUGGGUUUGACGGCUAUCCGGUGAAGGAACAGCUUGAAGCAACCACGUCGAUAACAGACAAGAGAAUACCACUUUUCCCCUUUUUCGGUGGUUGAAUUUGGUGCAAAUAUCAGUUUGCUAAUAAUCACACCUUCUUCAGUGUCAACUAAUAUUGAGUUCCAUCGUGAUAAGGACUCAAUAUCAGGUUCCCUAAACUUCUACCAAAACUUUAUCAGGUUCCAAAGCAGCUAGAAAUCUUGUCUCCAUGUACUUUCUCUUUCGUAAACAUAUUGGGUUUCAUUAGUCGAAUAGGGCUCUACCUUGUAUAUGUAUAUAAGGUGAUAUUUUCCUACUCGCUACUCACUUUUCAUGCUAAAACUUGUGCUAAGACAUAACAGUAUUUCUUCAUGAUAUGUAAGGCUAGAGUUUUGAAGUUCCUGCUGUUGUAGAAUGGUGGUUUAUUAUGUAUUGAUUUAGUUUGCUUAUAA